Nothoprocta perdicaria is the source of this 1154-nucleotide long non-coding RNA. RefSeq lists it as uncharacterized. The transcript is spliced from 4 exons. The record is from RefSeq and is a predicted model, not a curated record. NCBI's taxonomy places the organism in Eukaryota, Metazoa, Chordata, Aves, Tinamiformes, Tinamidae.
UCGCGACCGUUGCCGCCCCGCCCGCGGGCCCAACGGCUCCUCGGGACGGCGCCGCCGCCAGGAGAAUGCAACUAAGAGAAGAAGAGAUGAGCUCUGCAAUGAAGAAAAUGAACCYAGCAGUCCAUCUGAGCAAGCCUGCCUGAGUACAGGAGUAGACACCAUUUGAAACUGGAAUGUGUAUUUCAGCUUGCCAUUCUUAUCCCUGCUCAAAGCUAAAGCUGAGACUCUGCUCACUGAGUGUGGCAUAGGCAAUGCUGAAGAAGGGAAGAACGGGCUUGGGAAGCAAGAGCUAUUUCAGAGGUGCCUUCUUCCUUGCAUAAAGUCCAAACAUGAGGACCUCUAUAAACCUCAUUAGAUCCUGCCAUCAAUGCCUGAGCCUCCCUGAAAUCUUCUUAUCAGUUACUGCCGAGAUGAGAAGGAUAAGAGGAAGGAGGAGCGCUUAAGUGGUUCUAAUGACAGCUAAUUUCAUUGUUUAUCAAAUGACAGGUUGUUUUUUUCUUAAAACUCAAUUGUCAUGCCUAGAUGCUUUUUGGAAGUAGUCUUUGUAAAAUAAAACUGACAAUUUUAGGCUACAAAGAGCUAUUGUAAUCUUUCUAGAUGAUGUUGUCACUAUGGUAAACCUCUGGAAAGUCUGUAUUUUUACGUAAUUGAACUUGCAUGCUUUACUCAUUUGUUUGAAUGUCUAUUGAAUGCCAUGUGAGAAGUUUCUUUCCAAAGUUAUUUUAUUCAAUAGAGCAGUUAUUCUUAGAACACUCAAUUGAUUAUUUUCUAAAUUACUGUUGCCUUAGCCUCCCGCAAAAAUGUUUCUUUUCAGUAAUUCUUAAACAAAUAAGAAUGAAUGGGGUUUUGUCCUCUUCCUGUUUUGAUCGGCAUAGCUUUCUCCUGUUAGUGAAAGCUUCUUCAGUCUUCAGAAUGACACCAUUACAAAGAAAGGUGCUUUGCUUUUUUUCUUUUUCCAACGGAAAGUGUCUUCUGGUGCAGUGAUUUUUGACCGUGUACCUUGCCAAGACUAAUUACUGGAGGGAGAGAAACUGUUGGGAGUGUUGUGCCAUGCCAAAUUAAGAGUUAUUAGCUCUUUGCACCAUCUCUUCAACUAGAAUCGGCCCUGUUGCAUCUGGCUUAGACAUUGAAUUAGUGGAACUAAUGUGUUCUUG